This is a long non-coding RNA of Mus musculus (house mouse), 3940 nucleotides long. RefSeq annotates it as predicted gene, 32371. The transcript is spliced from 5 exons. NCBI's taxonomy places the organism in Eukaryota, Metazoa, Chordata, Mammalia, Rodentia, Muridae. The record is from RefSeq and is a predicted model, not a curated record.
UAUGGCAGUGGACCAGACAGAAAAGCCCCUGCCCCUGCAGAGCUUGCAUUUUGCACUUAUUUAUUUCACGACUCUGUUGGCCCACACUGGUGGCCAUCAGAGGAGCCAGGAACUUGUAGGAGACAGUUUUCUCCUUGUACUAUGUGGGUCCUGGAUAGCAAACAAGCAGUCAGACUUGGCUGCAAGCACCUUUACCUGAGGAGCCAUCUUGUCUGCCCAAGAGUUUGCCUUCUAGUAUAUGCACAGGGAAGGGCUCAUUAGAAGCUUAGUGCUUACUCUCCUUCCUGAUAGGCUCUUCCCAGGUGAGCAACCAGAAAGAAGUCUGUCUCCUCUCUUCCCCUCGGGGCCCUACUUCCCCUCCGCUAUAGUCCCAGUACCUCACAGAACUCUCAGGUACACCCCUUGUGGAAGGGAAUGGGUACCCAGCUCCAAACAGCAGCUCUAUAUAACAGCGAGACAUUUAGCAGUAGGAAGAGCUGCCCCUGGCUCUGAGGAUGGAGAGAGGUUUGUGUCUUAGAGGAGUCACUGGGCAGAUGUGGUGCACACACUCCUUCCCCCUCAGACACGGAGGCCACAGGGAAGUGCUCGCUGAGUGCUGAGUGAGAUUCUCCGGGUCCAGCCUGUCCUGCAAUGGGGACAAGUCACCUGCUCUCCCGACUGCUUUAGGUUCUGGGUGGGGGAGCAGGGACUCCAGACAGAUGAGGAGAAACAGAGACAGGCUCGGGAACUCUUCUCCUUGAUCUCCAAGUCUCAGAACUGGGCAUCACAGCUGUGAUGGUAGCCCAGGGGACCCCAUGGAGGAGUUAGCUGAGCCCACCUAGGGCACCCCAUGCUGGAGAGAAGUCCUAAGGCAGGCUGGCUGAGCCAAUGUUGAAGCCUUGUGCUUGGUGGGAGCCAGGGAGGUAGGAGGCCAUGAAAUUGAUGCUCUUCCUUCCUGCUCAUGCCCAGAUCUGGAGGCUGAUUGGUGGACAGAGGUGCCAAUCAAUAAGCUCUCUGAACAACCAUCCGGCUACUCCCUUGAAAGCCUCCCCUUCUUCCAGAGCUUUUCUUUGGAGCAAGUUCCUUCAGAUAUAAAGUAACAAUAGACACAGCCAGGUGCUUCCCCACCUGCAAGGCACCCAGCUUGUCUAAAAGUUGUGGAUCCCUGGCUGCCUCCUGCAGGCUGUGGACGCUGCACUCCAUGUCUCCUAUGCCUCUCCACGCUUCAACCAGGUUUUCCAGAGUGAAGGUGUGGGCAAGCAGAGGGGCGAGCCCAAGUGUGUGCUGUGGCACCGUGUGCAGGGUGAAGAAUCACAGGAGAUCAAUGGCCCCAGGGACUCUAAAGCUGUUCCAGUCCCCUCCACGGGAGCAAAUUUGUGCAAUGGUAUGCAUCUGUGCAAAGGAAAGGGUGGGUCAUUGCUAGUCUGUCCAGAGAUAGGCUUCUCAUUAGCAGGCCAGGCACCACCACACAAGGUCUUAAAUGAUACAACAGCUCAGUGAAGUAGGAGAGGUGAUGACCCUCCUGGAUGUAGCAUCCAGGCUGGACCUAGAACCCUAUGCAACAUCCUCCAGAGCUGUGAUUCCACACUGAGACCCAGGGGGCUUAUGCACGGGGCUCAGGGACAGGUGUAAGAACACAUGGGCCUAGGGUGUGGGCAAGCUGGCUGUGGCUUAGAUGCUCUGGGGUGGUGGGCUCAACAGAAGCAGGAAAAGUGGGUGGGUGGACUGGAACCUGCGGGCAUGGGUCGCUGCAGUCCUUGGGAGAGGCGGGGGAGGGGAGGUAGGAGCCGGUGCAUGUGAGAGAGGCUGUGAGAAGUGCGGAGACUUUUUUCCUUGUUUCUUUCUCUUCUGACUUCAACCAGGAACAGAUGUGUGAGGGGGCUGACGAAUUGGAAACAUCUGUAACAACUGUCCGAGCUGAAGUGUAAUAAAUAGGCCUUUCAUCACAUUCCCUGGAAGGGGGUCGCUGGGGACAGGCUCAGGGGAGCCCUGAAAGGGCUUGGUGGUAGAUAGUGGCCUGAGGAUGGGUGAGUAGAAAGACAGACAGACUGGCCUCUGAAAGUAUAGAGACAGAGCGGCUCCUGGCCUCUCCCAGCAAACCUCAGUUUUCCUGACUGUGCAGUGGGUUUAGCAUUCCUCUGAGUUCUGAGACUGGACACCCAAGGAGUAGGCAGUUUUCAGCUGACAUAGGCAGAUAGUUGGCCAGACCAUGGGUCUCAGAAUAAACCAUGCCUCUACCCCUUGGCCAUGCCUCCUCCUUGGCACUCCCUGUAAUGGUCCCCAGAAGUCUUAGCCCUUGGAGCUUACAUGAAUCAAGUUUUUUGAGGAGAGGCACAUGGUCCAUGCAGUUAGGAUAUUGGGUAGGUAGGAACUGGAAGAGAUGCGGAGACUGGAGUUUACCAGUUUGGAUAAGAGUGUGCUGGGAGCCUUAUCCCAUACUUCAUCGCUGUCUAUCUCAGACCCACACACAAACCAAAGAACUCCCUGCCAGAUGAGGAUCCAGAGAACCGGCGACAGUCUGAUACAGCACCCAGGGGCCCCAGGGAGGAGGUGUGUAGUAGCCAGGCUUCCAGUGAGCUGGGUCUUCUAUGACGGGUUCUCCCUAGGCUAGAUACGAGAGGUAGUCAGCCCUGACUGCAAGCUCAGGAGGGUCAAGGGUCUUCCCAAAUUUUGGGGUGCAGAGACUUUUAUCUCCUGGAUCUCAGGAGCUGUACCCCAGAGGAGGAGGAUCUCAAGAGUCUGUCCCAGCCUGGUGGCUUUGCCUGGGUCUUUGUUUAGUGCAGCAAAGACAGAGUCCCCUGAGACUCCUGAAGCCAGAAAAGGGACAAAGAGUCUUGUUUGCCCCUGAUCAAUAGCUGUGUGAUUCAGGUUGCCUAAGCAAGCUGCUGUGCGUCAGCUGCUCUGUGAAGUGAGUGCAGGUUAUCCUCACCUCACAAACCAAGUACAGCCACCUUUUGCAAGUGCGACACAUGUCACUAUGUACACGCAUCCAUACAAAUACCUCCAGGGCCAGCCUCUCCACAUGGCCCUAGGACUCUAUGCUCCAUCCAUCCUCAGGCACUGUGUAGAUGGUGACCACUCCCAUCUCGGAUGAUACCUACUCCAUCGAAGGCCUCCAAGACUUUGAACUUUCUGAGGGCGGACGCAGCCUCUUCCUCUUCUCAGGCAAUUGGUUGCCACACCUGUCUGUGUCUGGCGAGGGCCUCUUAACUCUUCCAGCUCACAUGUGGCAUUCGUUUGUGCAAGGUGUGUUCUGUGAGCUUUACACUUCAUAACUCAAUCAACCCUAACCACCAUUCAGGCCUCUCGUCGACAGCCCCAGGCUUCAGCGUCUUGUGUGGAGUCAUCGGUUGGUGAAGCCCAAAGAUCAGAUCACAAGGUUCACCUGAUGGAGCCCAAUGAGGACUCAUAGAGAACAGGACCGGACAUGGGAGUAAACUCCGACAUUCUCCACAUGUCACCCUGUCCUGGAACGAGAAGACACAUAAGACGGUCUGUGGCAGUGAGGCUGGUCACACGGCCAUCCAUGCGGAUAACUGAACUGAGGGCCUUGCGCAUCCUAGGCAAGAGGGCCACCACCGAGCCACGCCCCGUGCUCUCAUUUAAGCCUUAAAGCACGGAGAGAACAACCCAAAGAGCCACUGAUUGGUAGAAGAACAUCACAUGGUGCAUCUAUCAAGUUCAGUAAGAGUGCAGUGCACAGGGAUGAGGUGUGCUGACCCUCCGGACAUCAUGCUUGAGGACAGAAGCCAGACCCAGAAUCAGUGGCUGGGGAUCGGGAUGGGAACUGACUGCCCGUGGGUUUGGGCACUGAUAAGGAUGUUUCAAAUCAUACCAUGAUAUGGUUGCAUGGCUCCAGGAUUCACUAAAAAUCAGUGACUCAUAUACUUUGAGAAGUUUCAUGAAUGAAUUAUACUCCUUUGUACUUACUUAUGUUUUAUGUACAUUGGUGAUUUGACUG